RNAcentral lists this ribosomal RNA (404 nucleotides) under Fusobacteriota bacterium. RNAcentral's name for it is "Fusobacteria bacterium partial 16S ribosomal RNA". It matches the Rfam family "Bacterial small subunit ribosomal RNA", at positions 355 to 776 of the family's 1533-position model. The record is from RNAcentral. Lineage: Bacteria; Fusobacteriati; Fusobacteriota.
UGGGGAAUAUUGCACAAUGGAGGGAACUCUGAUGCAGCGACGCCGCGUGAGUGAUGAAGGACUUCGUUUCGUAAAACUCUGUUCUAUGGGAAGAAAAGGACUGUACCAUAGGAGAAAGCUCCGGCUAAAUACGUGCCAGCAGCCGCGGUAAUACGUAUGGAGCAAGCGUUGUCCGGAAUUAUUGGGCGUAAAGGGUGCGCAGGCGGCUUUACAAGUUGGAUGUGAAAUAUUGUGGCUCAACCACAAACGUGCAUCCAAAACUGCAAAGCUUGAGUUAAGGAGAGGUAAGUGGAAUUCCUGGUGUAGCGGUGGAAUGCGUAGAUAUCAGGAGGAAUACCGGUGGCGAAGGCGACUUACUGGACUUAAACUGACGCUCAGGCACGAAAGCGUGGGGAGCAAACAGG